UUGUAAAGUACUUUCAGCGAGGAGGAAGGCAGUUAAGGUUAAUAACCUUAGUGAUUGACGUUACUCGCAGAAGAAGCACCGGCUAACUCCGUGCCAGCAGCCGCGGUAAUACGGAGGGUGCAAGCGUUAAUCGGAAUUACUGGGCGUAAAGCGCACGCAGGCGGUCUGUCAAGUCGGAUGUGAAAUCCCCGGGCUCAACCUGGGAACUGCAUUCGAAACUGGCAGGCUAGAGUCUUGUAGAGGGGGGUAGAAUUCCAGGUGUAGCGGUGAAAUGCGUAGAGAUCUGGAGGAAUACCGGUGGCGAAGGCGGCCCCCUGGACAAAGACUGACGCUCAGGUGCGAAAGCGUGGGGAGCAAACAGGAUUAGAACCCCCGGUAGAAGAUGGAGGCCGCGG
RNAcentral lists this ribosomal RNA (395 nucleotides) under Kluyvera sp. SMg6Da. Its description in RNAcentral is "bacterial SSU rRNA". It matches the Rfam family "Bacterial small subunit ribosomal RNA", at positions 423 to 800 of the family's 1533-position model. Lineage: Bacteria; Pseudomonadati; Pseudomonadota; Gammaproteobacteria; Enterobacterales; Enterobacteriaceae. The record is from RNAcentral.